This 150-nucleotide ribosomal RNA is filed under the name Hyphomucor assamensis. Its description in RNAcentral is "5.8S ribosomal RNA". It matches the Rfam family "5.8S ribosomal RNA". From Rfam's summary of the family: 5.8S ribosomal RNA (5.8S rRNA) is a component of the large subunit of the eukaryotic ribosome. Lineage: Eukaryota; Fungi; Mucoromycota; Mucoromycetes; Mucorales; Mucoraceae. The record is from RNAcentral. RNAcentral also lists the same sequence under 1 other name.
AACUUUUAACAACGGAUCUCUUGGUUCUCGCAUCGAUGAAGAACGUAGCAAAGUGCGAUAACUAGUGUGAAUUGCAUAUUCAGUGAAUCAUCGAGUCUUUGAACGCAACUUGCACCUGUUGGUAUUCCAACAGGUACGCCUGUUUCAGUA